RNAcentral lists this transfer RNA (76 nucleotides) under Acinetobacter phage nACB2. RNAcentral describes it as "tRNA-Asn". It matches the Rfam family "tRNA". Rfam says of the family: Transfer RNA (tRNA) molecules are approximately 80 nucleotides in length. Their secondary structure includes four short double-helical elements and three loops (D, anti-codon, and T loops). Lineage: Duplodnaviria; Heunggongvirae; Uroviricota; Caudoviricetes; Pantevenvirales; Ackermannviridae. The record is from RNAcentral.
AGCCUAGUAGCUCAGUUGGUAGAGCAGCGGAUUGUUAAUCCGUUGGUCACAGGUUCGAACCCUGUCUAGGCAGCCA